CCCGCACUAGCGGUGGAGCAUGUGGUUUAAUUCGAUGCACCGCGUAGUUCCUUUCCUGGUAUUGACAUCCUGAGUACUUAGCAGAGAUGCUUUGGUGCCUUCGGGAACUGUGAGACAGGUGCUGCAUGGCUGUCGUCAGCUCGUGUUGUUAAAUGUUGGGUUAAGUCCCGCAACGAGCGCAACCCUUAUCCUUUGUUGCCAGCGGUUCGGCCUGGAACUCAAAGGAGACUGCCAGUGAUAAACUGGAGGAAGGUGGGGAU
Molecule: ribosomal RNA, 260 nt
Filed under: Klebsiella pneumoniae
Lineage: Bacteria; Pseudomonadati; Pseudomonadota; Gammaproteobacteria; Enterobacterales; Enterobacteriaceae
Description: partial 16S ribosomal RNA
Rfam family: Bacterial small subunit ribosomal RNA
Source: RNAcentral